UACGUAGGUGGCAAGCGUUAUCCGGAUUUACUGGGUGUAAAGGGCGUGUAGGCGGGCUGACAAGUCGGAUGUUUAAUUCCCGGGCUUAACCCGGGCGGGUCAUCCGAAACUGUCGGUCUUGAGUACUGGAGAGGAUAGUGGAAUUCCUAGUGUAGCGGUAAAAUGCGUAGAUAUUAGGAGGAACACCAGUGGCGAAGGCGGCUAUCUGGACAGUAACUGACGCUGAGGCGCGAAAGCGUGGGGAGCAAACAGG
RNAcentral lists this ribosomal RNA (253 nucleotides) under uncultured Saccharofermentans sp. Its description in RNAcentral is "partial 16S ribosomal RNA". It matches the Rfam family "Bacterial small subunit ribosomal RNA", at positions 524 to 776 of the family's 1533-position model. The record is from RNAcentral. Lineage: Bacteria; Bacillati; Bacillota; Clostridia; Eubacteriales; Oscillospiraceae.